CCCCCCCCCCCCCCCGGUUGCUACGGCCCUGGAGAGGGUCUGGGGUUUUCUCCCCCAGAAAAUUUUUGUAUUUUUCUACCCCUAUGACUGCAAUUCCCUGCCUUUUUCGAAACAGAUUAUUGGAUACACAGCAUUACAUUAUGCUGUAGAUAGACUGAACCUUCAGUUAAGUACUGUUAGUAUGUUUAUGUAAAUACCACAACUUGGUCGUCAAUUAAGGAGCCAGCUUGAUAAACUUAGAGUUCCCGACUCCCACGAAGCGCCAGCAUGGAAAAAUUUUGAAAAUUUUGCGUCUCUAAAUCGUCGGGAAUGGCAUUUUCAAAGUCUUCUAUACGUCUUUUGUUUGGCCCUUUCGUUAAUUCGUUCAUUAUGAUUUGUGAGUCUAUGAUAUCCGCGAGUCAGGAUGGAUUAUUACGAGAAAUGUUAUCAAAAUAUCGAUUACAGAUAUAUGAUUUCAAAUACUUCUAGUUUCGAAAUCAAAUUGUUUCUUUUGUGGGGGGCCAAAAUUAUCCCCCCCCC
Non-coding RNA from Paramuricea clavata, 519 nucleotides. The record is from the annotation of a GenBank genome assembly. Lineage: Eukaryota; Metazoa; Cnidaria; Anthozoa; Malacalcyonacea; Plexauridae.